This is a long non-coding RNA of Etheostoma spectabile (orangethroat darter), 80 nucleotides long. RefSeq lists it as uncharacterized. The record is from RefSeq and is a predicted model, not a curated record. NCBI's taxonomy places the organism in Eukaryota, Metazoa, Chordata, Actinopteri, Perciformes, Percidae. The transcript is spliced from 3 exons.
CAGCAGCGGCGGACUUGUUGGACCAUGUGAACACAGCGUCCCUCUCUCAUUCCUUCAACCAGCUUGCAUUAUAUUAUUGA